This 407-nucleotide ribosomal RNA is filed under the name Pseudictyota sp. RNAcentral's name for it is "partial large subunit ribosomal RNA". It matches the Rfam family "Bacterial large subunit ribosomal RNA", at positions 2081 to 2485 of the family's 2925-position model. Lineage: Eukaryota; Bacillariophyta; Thalassiosirophyceae; Eupodiscales; Odontellaceae. The record is from RNAcentral.
CAGAAAGACCCUAUGCAGCUUUACUAUAAGCUGGUAUUGUGUUCUGGUUACGAUUGCGUAGCGUAGGUGGGAGACUGUGAACCCGGGAUUUAGGUUUCGGGGGAGUCGCAAUGUGAAACACCACUCUGUUGUAAUUAGGAUUCUAACCGCGAUCCCAUCAGCUGGGCGCGGGACAGUGCUUGCGGGUUAGUUUGGCUGGGGCGGCUUCCUCCCAAAGAGUAACGGAGGAGUGCGAAGCUUGGUUCAGCAUGGUUGGCAACCAUGCGUCGAGGAUAUGGCUAGAAACCAGGUUUACUGUGAGACCUACAAGUCGAGCAGUUGCGAAAGCAGGCCCAAAUGAUCCGGCGGUUGAAUGUGGAAUUGCCGUCGCUCAACGGACAAAAGGUACGCUAGGGAUAACAGGCUGA